RNAcentral lists this ribosomal RNA (1629 nucleotides) under Calothrix sp. UAM 374. RNAcentral describes it as "bacterial SSU rRNA". It matches the Rfam family "Bacterial small subunit ribosomal RNA". The record is from RNAcentral. Lineage: Bacteria; Bacillati; Cyanobacteriota; Cyanophyceae; Nostocales; Calotrichaceae.
AGAGUUUGAUCCUGGCUCAGGAUGAACGCUGGCGGUAUGCUUAACACAUGCAAGUCGAACGGUCUCUUCGGAGAUAGUGGCGGACGGGUGAGUAACGCGUGAGAAUCUGGCUUCAGGUUCGGGACAACAGAUGGAAACGUCUGCUAAUACCGAAUGUGCGGAAACGUGAAAGUUUUAAUGCCUGAAGAUGAGCUCGCGUCUGAUUAGCUAGUAGGUGUGGUAAAGGCGCACCUAGGCGACGAUCAGUAACUGGUCUGAGAGGACGAUCAGUCACACUGGAACUGAGACACGGUCCAGACUCCUACGGGAGGCAGCAGUGGGGAAUUUUCCGCAAUGGGCGAAAGCCUGACGGAGCAAUACCGCGUGAGGGAGGAAGGCUCUUGGGUUGUAAACCUCUUUUCUCAGGGAAUAAAAAAAUGAAGGUACCUGAGGAAUAAGCAUCGGCUAACUCCGUGCCAGCAGCCGCGGUAAUACGGAGGAUGCAAGCGUUAUCCGGAAUGAUUGGGCGUAAAGCGUCCGCAGGUGGCUAUGUAAGUCUGUUGUUAAAGCGUGCGGCUCAACCGCAUAAGGGCAAUGGAAACUACAAGGCUAGAGUGCGUUAGGGGUAGAGGGAAUUCCUGGUGUAGCGGUGAAAUGCGUAGAUAUCAGGAAGAACACCGGUGGCGAAGGCGCUCUACUAUGCCGCAACUGACACUGAGGGACGAAAGCUAGGGGAGCGAAUGGGAUUAGAUACCCCAGUAGUCCUAGCCGUAAACGAUGGACACUAGGCGUUGCUCGUAUCGACCCGAGCAGUGCCGUAGCCAACGCGUUAAGUGUCCCGCCUGGGGAGUACGCACGCAAGUGUGAAACUCAAAGGAAUUGACGGGGGCCCGCACAAGCGGUGGAGUAUGUGGUUUAAUUCGAUGCAACGCGAAGAACCUUACCAGGACUUGACAUGUCGCGAAUCUUCUUGAAAGGGRAGAGUGCCUUCGGGAGCGCGAACACAGGUGCUGCAUGGCUGUCGUCAGCUCGUGUCGUGAGAUGUUGGGUUAAGUCCCGCAACGAGCGCAACCCUCGUUUUUAGUUGCCAUCAUUAAGUUGGGCACUCUAGAGAGACUGCCGGUGACAAACCGGAGGAAGGUGAGGAUGACGUCAAGUCAGCAUGGCCCUUACGUCCUGGGCUACACACGUACUACAAUGCUACGGACAAAGGGCAGCUACACAGCGAUGUGAUGCAAAUCUCAUAAACCGUAGCUCAGUUCAGAUUGUAGGCUGCAACUCGCCUACAUGAAGUCGGAAUCGCUAGUAAUUGCAGGUCAGCAUACUGCAGUGAAUUCGUUCCCGGGCCUUGUACACACCGCCCGUCACACCAUGGGAGCUGGUUACGCCCGAAGUCGUUACUCUAACUGUUCGCAGAGGGGGACGCCGAAGGUAGAACUGGUGACUGGGGUGAAGUCGUAACAAGGUAGCCGUACCGGAAGGUGUGGCUGGAUCACCUCCUUUUUAGGGAGACCUACCCAUUUUAGAUUGAUGAUUUUGGUUUGAAGGCGAUGUCUUCGAGACAAACUCAUGUAAAGAGUCUAAGAUUUGGUCAUCACCUAGGUCGUUCGAGAAAUGGAUAAAAAGCUUUCAAACUGUUAGAUUGUUCGC